ACUUUUGCAUUUUAAUGUAAACAAUCAUAUUUCGUAAUAUUUUGGGUCAGAAACAUUUCAUAGUACUAUAUUAUGUCUAACUAUGUGAAAACAAUCAAAUUGGAGUAGGUCGUGCACUUGAUUAUAUGAGUUUGUUAGAAAAACCACUUUCCUUUGCUCCUAGCGCCUUCUCGUUCGCUCUAUAGCGUUUUCAGAGCAUAAAGAGCACAAGUGUGUAAGGGGACACAGAAUGAAUGGGAACUAGUUUUGUUAUUGUACUUUUGAUGAAAAGUGACUUUCUAGACAUAAAAUGUCACUUUUUUCACCUUAUCAUACUUUUUCAUCAACUUUUGCAUUUUAAUGUAAACAAUCAUAUUUAGUAAUAUUUUGGGUCAGAAACAUUUCAUAGUACUAUAUUAUGGCUAACUAUGUGAAACAAAUCAAAUUGGAGUAGGUCGUGCACUUGAUUAUAUGAGUUUGUUAGAAAAACCACUUUCCUUUGCUCCUAGCGCCUUCUCGUUCGCUCUAUUGCGUUUUCAGCGCAUAAAGAGCACAAGUGUGUAAGGGGACACAGAAUGAAUGGGAACUAGUUUUCUUAUUGUACUUUUGAUGAAAAGUCACUUUCUAGACAUAAAAUGUCACUUUUUUCACCUUAUCAUUCUUUUUCAUCAACUUUUGCAUUUUAAUGUAAACAAUCAUAUUUCGUAAUAUUUUGGGUCAGAAACAUUUCAUAGUACUAUAUUAUGUCUGACUAUGUGAAAAAAAUCAAAUUGGACUAGGUCGGGCAACUGAUUAUAUGAGUUUGUUAGAAAAACCACUUUCCUUUGCUCCUAGCGCCUUCUCGUUCGCUGUAUAGCGUUUUGAGCGGAUAAAGAGCACAAGUGUGUAAGGAGACACAGGAUGAAUGGGAACUAGUUUUGUUAUUGUACUUUUGAUGAAAAGUGACUUUCUAGACAUAACAUGUCACUUUUUUCACCUUAUCAUACUUUUUCAUCAACUUUUGCAUUUUAUUGUAAACAAUCAUAUUUCAUAAUAUUUUGGGUCAGAAACAUUUCAUAGUACUAUAUUAUGUCUAAAUAUGUGAAAAGAAUCAAAUUGGACUAGGUCGGGCAACUGAUUAUAUGAGUUUGUUAGAAAAACCACUUUCCUUUGCUCCAAGCGCCUUCUCGUUCGCUCUAUAGCGUUUUGAGUGGAUAAAGAGCACAAGUGUGUAAGGAGACACAGGAUGAAUGGGAACUAGUUUUGUUAUUGUACUUUUGAUGAAAAGUCACUUUCAAGACAUAAAAUGUCACUUUUUUCACCUUAUCAUACUUUUUCAUCAACUUUUGCAUUUUAUUGAAAAAAAUCAUAUUUCGUAAUAUUUUGGGUCAGAAACAUUUCAUAGUACUAUAUUAUGUCUAAAUAUGUGAAAAGAAUCAAAUUGGACUAGGUCGGGCAACUGAUUGUAUGAGUUUGUUAGAAAAACCACUUUCCUUUGCUCCUAGCGCCUUCUCGUUCGCUGUAUAGCGUUUUGAGCGGAUAAAGAGCACAAGUGUGUAAGGAGACACAGAAUGAAUGGGAACUAGUUUUGUUAUUGUACUUUUGAUGAAAAGUCACUUUCUAGACAUAAAAUGUCACUUUUUUCACCUUAUAAUACUUUUUCAUCAACUUUUGCAUUUUAUUGUAAACAAUCAUAUUUCGUAAUAUUUUGGGUCAGAAACAUUUCAUAGUACUAUAUUAUGUCUAACUAUGUGAAAAAAAUCAAAUUGGAGUAGGUCGGGCAACUGAUUAUAUGAGUUUGUUAGAAAAACCACUUUCCUUUGCUCCUAUCGCCUUCUCGUUCGCUGUAUAGUGUUUUGAG
Ictalurus punctatus (channel catfish) is the source of this 1819-nucleotide long non-coding RNA. The record is from Ensembl. NCBI's taxonomy places the organism in Eukaryota, Metazoa, Chordata, Actinopteri, Siluriformes, Ictaluridae.